This 550-nucleotide ribosomal RNA is filed under the name uncultured bacterium. Its description in RNAcentral is "bacterial SSU rRNA". It matches the Rfam family "Bacterial small subunit ribosomal RNA", at positions 355 to 896 of the family's 1533-position model. The record is from RNAcentral.
UAGGGAAUCUUCGGCAAUGGACGAAAGUCUGACCGAGCAACGCCGCGUGAGUGAAGAAGGUUUUCGGAUCGUAAAGCUCUGUUGUAAGUCAAGAACGUGUGUGAGAGUGGAAAGUUCACACAGUGACGGUAGCUUACCAGAAAGGGACGGCUAACUACGUGCCAGCAGCCGCGGUAAUACGUAGGUCCCGAGCGUUGUCCGGAUUUAUUGGGCGUAAAGGGAGCGCAGGCGGUCAGGAAAGUCUGGAGUAAAAGGCUAUGGCUCAACCAUAGUGUGCUCUGGAAACUGUCUGACUUGAGUGCAGAAGGGGAGAGUGGAAUUCCAUGUGUAGCGGUGAAAUGCGUAGAUAUAUGGAGGAACACCAGUGGCGAAAGCGGCUCUCUGGUCUGUCACUGACGCUGAGGCUCGAAAGCGUGGGUAGCGAACAGGAUUAGAUACCCUGGUAGUCCACGCCGUAAACGAUGAGUGCUAGGUGUUAGGCCCUUUCCGGGGCUUAGUGCCGGAGCUAACGCAAUAAGCACUCCGCCUGGGGAGUACGACCGCAAGGUUG